GACGAACGCUGGCGGCGUGCCUAAUACAUGCAAGUUGAGCGCUGAAGGUUGGUACUUGUACCAACUGGAUGAGCAGCGAACGGGUGAGUAACGCGUGGGGAAUCUGCCUUUGAGCGGGGGACAACAUUUGGAAACGAAUGCUAAUACCGCAUAAAAACUUUAAACACAAGUUUUAAGUUUGAAAGAUGCAAUUGCAUCACUCAAAGAUGAUCCCGCGUUGUAUUAGCUAGUUGGUGAGGGAAAGGCUCACCAAGGCGAUGAUACAUAGCCGACCUGAGAGGGUGGUCGGCCACAUUGGGACGGAGACACGGCCCAAACUCCUACGGGAGGCAGCAGUAGGGAAUCUUCGGCAAUGGACGAAAGUCUGACCGAGCAACGCCGAGUGAGUGAAGAAGGUUUUCGGAUCGUAAAACUCUGUUGGUAGAGAAGAACGUUGGUGAGAGUGGAAAGCUCAUCAAGUGACGGUAACUACCCAGAAAGGGACGGCUAACUACGUG
This 497-nucleotide ribosomal RNA is filed under the name uncultured bacterium. Its description in RNAcentral is "partial 16S ribosomal RNA". It matches the Rfam family "Bacterial small subunit ribosomal RNA", at positions 28 to 507 of the family's 1533-position model. The record is from RNAcentral.